Suncus etruscus (white-toothed pygmy shrew) is the source of this 103-nucleotide small nucleolar RNA. RefSeq annotates it as small nucleolar RNA U13. The transcript has a single exon. The record is from RefSeq and is a predicted model, not a curated record. Lineage: Eukaryota; Metazoa; Chordata; Mammalia; Eulipotyphla; Soricidae.
AUCCUUUUCUGGUUUAUAAGCAUGAUACUUGGGUUUUCACACUCCUGUUUGAUAUGUGCCUCCAUUCAACCUUAUUAAGAAGUCGGCACAUGACCCUCUGACA